This 253-nucleotide ribosomal RNA is filed under the name uncultured bacterium. RNAcentral describes it as "partial 16S ribosomal RNA". It matches the Rfam family "Bacterial small subunit ribosomal RNA", at positions 524 to 776 of the family's 1533-position model. The record is from RNAcentral.
UACGUAGGGUGCGAGCGUUAAUCGGAAUUACUGGGCGUAAAGCGCGCGUAGGCGGCUUUUCAAGUCGAUUGUGAAAUCCCCGGGCUUAACCUGGGAACUGCAUUCGAGACUGCAUUGCUAGAGUAUGGGAGAGGGAAGUGGAAUUUCCGGUGUAGCGGUGAAAUGCGUAGAUAUCGGAAGGAACAUCAGUGGCGAAAGCGACUUCCUGGACCAAUACUGACGCUCAUGUGCGAAAGCGUGGGGAGCAAACAGG